RNAcentral lists this long non-coding RNA (398 nucleotides) under Sorghum bicolor (sorghum). RNAcentral describes it as "long non-coding RNA (SBIC_LNC004364)". The record is from RNAcentral. Lineage: Eukaryota; Viridiplantae; Streptophyta; Magnoliopsida; Poales; Poaceae.
AGAAUUGGCCCGGAGAGCCAUUGCAGUGGCCGAGGAGAGACUCUCAGAUGACAAGUGGCCAGAAUACUACGACACCCGAUCUGGGAGGUUCAUUGGGAAGCAAUCCCGAUCUUACCAGACAUGGACUAUUGCUGGUUUUCUGACCUCAAAAAUGUUGCUGGAGAACCCAGAGCUGGCUUCAAUUCUGACCUGUGAUGAGGACCUUGAGCUGCUCGAAGGCUGCGCUUGCUGCCUGUCCACGAAGAGGACCAGGUGCUCACGCCGGGCAGCCAAGUCACAUAUUGGGUGAAGCUGUGAAGGUCAUGUUGUUCUUUCUACUGUGGACGCACAAUGUAUACUACCGACUGAGAAUUAACCAAGACACAGACUCUUCAGCUGUACAUUAGUAUAGGUUUAUG